AUGAGAACUUGCCCUUCGGGGUAGAUCUCCCACCCUCUGUUUACAUACUUUGUUGCUUUGGCAGGCGGACCGCUGGCUUCGGCUGGCCCGUGCCUGCCAGAGGAUUCAAAACUCUGAUAAUUAUGUCGUCUGAGUACUAUUAUAAAUAGUUA
RNAcentral lists this unclassified non-coding RNA (152 nucleotides) under uncultured Helotiales. RNAcentral's name for it is "sequence contains ITS1". Lineage: Eukaryota; Fungi; Ascomycota; Leotiomycetes; Helotiales. The record is from RNAcentral.